RNAcentral lists this ribosomal RNA (492 nucleotides) under uncultured bacterium. Its description in RNAcentral is "partial 16S ribosomal RNA". It matches the Rfam family "Bacterial small subunit ribosomal RNA", at positions 29 to 507 of the family's 1533-position model. The record is from RNAcentral.
AGUGAACGCUGGCGGUAGGCCUAACACAUGCAAGUCGAACGGCAGCACAGUAAGAGCUUGCUCUUACGGGUGGCGAGUGGCGGACGGGUGAGGAAUACAUCGGAAUCUACUUUUUCGUGGGGGAUAACGUAGGGAAACUUACGCUAAUACCGCAUACGACCUACGGGUGAAAGCAGGGGAUUUUCGGACCUUGCGCGAUUGAAUGAGCCGAUGUCGGAUUAGCUAGUUGGCGGGGUAAAGGCCCACCAAGGCGACGAUCCGUAGCUGGUCUGAGAGGAUGAUCCGCCACACUGGAACUGAGACACGGUCCAGACUCCUACGGGAGGCAGCAGUGGGGAAUAUUGGACAAUGGGCGCAAGCCUGAUCCAGCCAUACCGCGUGGGUGAAGAAGGCCUUCGGGUUGUAAAGCCCUUUUGUUGGGAAAGAAAAGCAGCAGGUUAAUACCCCGCUGUUCUGACGGUACCCAAAGAAUAAGCACCGGCUAACUUCGUG